AGGGAAUUUUCCACAAUGGGCGAAAGCCUGAUGGAGCAACGCCGCGUGCAGGAUGAAGGCCUUCGGGUCGUAAACUGCUUUUAUGAGUGAUGAUUUAAGACAGUAACUCAAGAAUAAGGGUCGGCUAACUACGUGCCAGCAGCCGCGGUAAUACGUAGGAUCCAAGCGUUAUCCGGAAUUACUGGGCGUAAAGAGUUGUGUAGGCGGCUUGUUAAGUUGGUAGUGAAAGCGUGUGGCUCAACCACAUAUCCAUUAUCAAAACUGGCAAGCUAGAGGGCGAGAGAGGUUAUUGGAAUUCCAAGUGUAGGAGUGAAAUCCGUAGAUAUUUGGAGGAACACCGAUGGCGUAGG
This 350-nucleotide ribosomal RNA is filed under the name uncultured bacterium. RNAcentral describes it as "bacterial SSU rRNA". It matches the Rfam family "Bacterial small subunit ribosomal RNA", at positions 356 to 721 of the family's 1533-position model. The record is from RNAcentral.